Paramuricea clavata is the source of this 781-nucleotide non-coding RNA. Lineage: Eukaryota; Metazoa; Cnidaria; Anthozoa; Malacalcyonacea; Plexauridae. The record is from the annotation of a GenBank genome assembly.
UCCUACUCGAUAUUUUUUUCGGUAUUAUAUAUUUGAUUAUUGAGUCCCCAAUAAUAACAAUUUGGCUAUAUAUAGACAGGGUGACCGCAACAGCGUGAGCCAAUUACUGCGGGCCCGAAUUAGGACAUACGUCUUUGAACUUUUUCCAAUAUAUCCUGCAAUGAAAUAGCUGUGUACUGUACCUGGUAUCAUACACAGUAAUGUGUGUAUUUGUAUAGCCCCAGCGAGUUAACGCUCCAUAGAGCGUCUUGUUAGCUAUAAAUGUAUAUGCAAAAAUCAUUGAACAUGGGCUCCAGAAAAUCUUUGCUCGCGCCAAUUACAGAUUGAUACCCGCAAGUUUUUCUUCAGAUUCUGUGAAAAUAAGUAUAAAUCAUUACAGUCAAGUAGUUUUCAGCGUAUUUUUAGGUCCCCUUUAGGAGAUUUCAGCCUUCGAUUUUCGUGUAAUUUUGUAGACCGAACAAAAACCGGUGUGCCGUCAAGUUGCUGUCGUUUUUUCACGAUUUAUUCAAAUCCUCGUAUUUUUUGCAACAGGGAACGUGGAUUGUGUCUUAACUUGCUGUUGAAACUUGGAAACAAACUUUACCGAAAUUCAACCUUCGAAUUUGCUUGAAAAUAGCUCUGCACGGGUAAAAUGAGUUUCGGCGUCUAGCGAAGCCGUAAAAAACAUUUUUCAAAAAAAAAAUUUAUUUUGGACACUUGUAUAUCAAUGCCUUUCAACACACAAAAAUUGAAGGAAAUCUAUUUUUCAAAGUCGAAGUCACCGGACCGCUCUUAAAGGCGG